RNAcentral lists this unclassified non-coding RNA (271 nucleotides) under Hevea brasiliensis (rubber tree). Lineage: Eukaryota; Viridiplantae; Streptophyta; Magnoliopsida; Malpighiales; Euphorbiaceae. The record is from RNAcentral.
GGCUGCGCAAGUACUUCUCAUAGAGCCACCGGGAAAUAAUCAGAGCAUUUCCAUUGCUGUCCACUGGGAAGUUGUUCCUACUUUUCUGCCAGUUAUUUGUGAGCUUUAUCCACUCUCUCCUCCAAUCAUUCAAUGGGAAACCAUGCCCAUUUUCCAAACUUGACAUUAAGUAUUUAAAGUAGAUAGCUGCUCGGGGACCAUAGUAAUCUAGCAGAAGACCACUCCAGUACUUGUUCCCAUAGUCACGAAGAAGACUCGCCUCAUCCUCUGU